UUUUCUGAGAUUGGAGAUUUUGCAUGACAGAAAUUUACGUUAAGUAAGUCUAUACUCGUUAUAGUUCUUUAAAUAGAGAUAAAGGGUAUAUAUGGGAUAAUAAAAAAUUAUUUGAAGAUUUAUAUCAAGGCUAUUUUCAAACAGACUUGGGAACGUCUAAUGACACGAUUUAAAAAAAAAUUACUCAAGUUUUAAUUUCAGCAGCGAAAGCAUUUCAAGCAAGUUUAUAGUGGAGAUGUCCAAUUUUGGUGCCCAACAUGGAGCCCUUCCUUUUAAAGAUAAUUAAGUAGAGUUUUGUAUGAUUUCUUCAUUACAGGAAUUGUUAAAUUCUUGACACCUUUUUGAAUCUAUGUUUACUUGGAAAAAUUACAAUAACGAAUAAGCAUUUUAACUAUGAGAAUGUCGGGUAUAUAUUAAAAUAGUCUAUACAGUCGCAUGUAUUACGAUUUAUGGCAGUUAACUUAUCCUCUAAUAUGUUCUGGGGUAUGAGAUAUCCUUAUAGAUGAUAUUGAAAGCUAACACCAAAUACCAGUGUAACGAAUAUUGUCAACAGCUGGCCGUUUUAUAUUUUAUAUUAUAUAGAAUGAGUCAAUUGGUUACAGUACCAAUUAUUGGUAGCACUUUUUACACAUUAAAUACCUCUUUAGCUAAUUGAACAAUUUUUUGAAAUUUAAUGGGAUGUGGCAAAAACUCUACGAAACAAACAACGUAGAAAUUGUAUACUCCUUACGCCAUAUGCCUAAAAAUAACUCUAGACGGAUGAUAUGAAGCCCACACACCCACAGUUUCGACCAAUAGGAGGGCUCGGCCUGGCUUGUUCGCGCGAAUUAAAGAAAUGCUGGAAUUUAAACAUGCAUGUGAUCGUUUGGAUCUGGAGAGUGACGUAUUCAGAAUUUGAAAUGAAUGAACAAUUAAAUGCAGUAGGAUAUCAAGUUAUUACGGAAAUUGUAUUAAACUAUUGCAAUGUAUUGAUAUUUUAAAGUUAAAUCCUACAAUAUUGCAACACAAGUUUUCCGUUUUUAUACUUUAAUAGGUGGCUACAACCAAAGUUUACUGAAUAAAAUACUAGUAUUUUAUUCAGUAAACUUUGGCUACAACAGGCUGUUAAACAGGAAUUUGGGUUGACAAGGUCUCGCUCUCUUCCAAUGUGGCGUCCUAAGUGUGAGACCGGAUCUUGGUAUUGUCUUACAUGUUAUGAAAUAUUUUGUGUAAACGACAAAAUAAAACAUAAGAAACUGGAA
This is a long non-coding RNA of Anthonomus grandis grandis, 1241 nucleotides long. RefSeq lists it as uncharacterized. The record is from RefSeq and is a predicted model, not a curated record. NCBI's taxonomy places the organism in Eukaryota, Metazoa, Arthropoda, Insecta, Coleoptera, Curculionidae. The transcript is spliced from 2 exons.